Molecule: non-coding RNA, 732 nt
Organism: Cyanistes caeruleus (blue tit)
Lineage: Eukaryota; Metazoa; Chordata; Aves; Passeriformes; Paridae
Source: RefSeq, a predicted model, not a curated record
UACCCUACUGCUUACCUCCUCUGGCUUUUUCAUCUCUUCCUUCCAACCUCUCCACCUACUCUUGCUUGGCUGUGGAGUCCUCAAAAACCCCUCUUCUUUGCUGGCCUACUCUUAUAGGUAAAUGACUGCAAAUGAGAAGAAGACCUGGAACAAGAGAGCUUUCAGCUGAAGCUUCAAAGUGGGAGGGGGCAAGGCACAGGUGUGAUGCUGGAUUCAGGAUUCUGGUGUGCCUGCGUGUAGGAUUAGGUGGAAGAGCAGCAAAAAAACAGAGCCCUGCAUGAGUCAUAACCCAGAAAAAGCUCUGCUGAGAAUACAGCUCACACUCUUCUGCAGUGUAGCCCAGGCUUUUACAACACCAUGUUCUACACAAUCCUGUUUCAUCUUCCUGCACUCAACUCUGUCUGUCACAGCAAGGAGCUCAAGAAAGACAUGCUUUUAAAAUUAGAGGUACAGCAUGGUUUCUGCAAGGGGAAGAUAAACCUCGCAAGUGAUCAAACCGGUGUGAAGAAGGUAGUGAUUAAGUUUAUCCCAAAAACUCCUGAUGUCACUCCUGGGAACCAAGAUGCUGUUUCACAAGAGCUAAUUGUACUGAGGCUGGAAAGAACAAAAAUGGUGAUUCUACAAUGCUGUGUGGGCAGCUCUGAGAUGCAUGUGGCUUUUACAGAGAAGGAGGAAUGGAGACAAAAAAUUCAGAUUGAUGCAAGAAAAUGUAAAUGCUGAUGGAAAGAAAAA